CUGGAGGUAUCAGAAGUGCGAAUGCUGACAUAAGUAACGAUAAAGCGGGUGAAAAGCCCGCUCGCCGGAAGACCAAGGGUUCCUGUCCAACGUUAAUCGGGGCAGGGUGAGUCGACCCCUAAGGCGAGGCCGAAAGGCGUAGUCGAUGGGAAACGGGUUAAUAUUCCCGUACUUGGUGUUACUGCGAAGGGGGGACGGAGAAGGCUAUGUUGGCCGGGCGACGGUUGUCCCGGUUUAAGCGUGUAGGUGUGUGUUCCAGGUAAAUCCGGUUCACUUUAACACUGAGGCGUGACGACGAGGCACUACGGUGCUGAAGCAACAAAUGCCCUGCUUCCAGGAAAAGCCUCUAAGCAUCAGGUAACAUCAAAUCGUACCCCAAACCGACACAGGUGGUCAGGUAGAGAAUACCAAGGCGCUUGAGAGAACUCGGGUGAAGGAACUAGGCAAAAUGGUGCCGUAACUUCGGGAGAAGGCACGCUGACACGUAGGUGAAGUGAUUUACUCAUGGAGCUGAAGUCAGUCGAAGAUACCAGCUGGCUGCAACUGUUUAUUAAAAACACAGCACUGUGCAAACACGAAAGUGGACGUAUACGGUGUGACGCCUGCCCGGUGCCGGAAGGUUAAUUGAUGGGGUCAGCGCAAGCGAAGCUCCUGAUCGAAGCCCCGGUAAACGGCGGCCGUAACUAUAACGGUCCUAAGGUAGCGAAAUUCCUUGUCGGGUAAGUUCCGACCUGCACGAAUGGCGUAAUGAUGGCCAGGCUGUCUCCACCCGAGACUCAGUGAAAUUGAACUCGCUGUGAAGAUGCAGUGUACCCGCGGCAAGACGGAAAGACCCCGUGAACCUUUACUAUAGCUUGACACUGAACAUUGAGCCUUGAUGUGUAGGAUAGGUGGGAGGCUUUGAAGUGUGGACGCCAGUCUGCAUGGAGCCGGCCUUGAAAUACCACCCUUUAAUGUUUGAUGUUCUAACGUGGACCCGUGAUCCGGGUUGCGGACAGUGUCUGGUGGGUAGUUUGACUGGGGCGGUCUCCUCCUAAAGAGUAACGGAGGAGCACGAAGGUUGGCUAAUCCUGGUCGGACAUCAGGAGGUUAGUGCAAUGGCAUAAGCCAGCUUGACUGCGAGCGUGACGGCGCGAGCAGGUGCGAAAGCAGGUCAUAGUGAUCCGGUGGUUCUGAAUGGAAGGGCCAUCGCUCAACGGAUAAAAGGUACUCCGGGGAUAACAGGCUGAUACCGCCCAAGAGUUCAUAUCGACGGCGGUGUUUGGCACCUCGAUGUCGGCUCAUCACAUCCUGGGGCUGAAGUAGGUCCCAAGGGUAUGGCUGUUCGCCAUUUAAAGUGGUACGCGAGCUGGGUUUAGAACGUCGUGAGACAGUUCGGUCCCUAUCUGCCGUGGGCGCUGGAGAACUGAGGGGGGCUGCUCCUAGUACGAGAGGACCGGAGUGGACGCAUCACUGGUGUUCGGGUUGUCAUGCCAAUGGCACUGCCCGGUAGCUAAAUGCGGAAGAGAUAAGUGCUGAAAGCAUCUAAGCACGAAACUUGCCCCGAGAUGAGUUCUCCCUGAGACUUAGAGUCUCCUGAAGGAACGUUGAAGACGACGACGUUGAUAGGCCGGGUGUGUAAGCGCAGCGAUGCGUUGAGCUAACCGGUACUAAUGAACCGUGAGGCUUAACCUUACA
This 1677-nucleotide ribosomal RNA is filed under the name Salmonella enterica. Its description in RNAcentral is "partial 23S ribosomal RNA". It matches the Rfam family "Bacterial large subunit ribosomal RNA", at positions 1273 to 2925 of the family's 2925-position model. The record is from RNAcentral. Lineage: Bacteria; Pseudomonadati; Pseudomonadota; Gammaproteobacteria; Enterobacterales; Enterobacteriaceae.